ACUCAAAUUUAAAAAAUAAUAAUCGUCGUUGGUCUCCCUUUCUCUCAAGCAGACGACAUCCCAAUCUCUUAAGCAGUAUUUUGGAGGAAUUAAACUUGGAGUUGGUGGACUGGCUAGGGCUUAUGGAGGAGUUGCAUCGGAAUGCUUGAGAAAUGCCCCAACUUGUCUUGUGAAAUCCAAGGUUAAGAAUAUAAUGUCUUUGUAUGGACAUAUAUGGAAUAAGUGGAGACAUCCUAUCUUUGACAAGUUGAACUUAAUGUUUGUGUACUAAUCUCUUACUUAAGUGUAUACAGUAACAAUCUUCUUAAGUUGAAGAUAUCAAGCAAGAUUAUGAUAUUGGUAAAGAUGGCAUCAGUAUGCUAAAGACAUGGCCUUAUUUUAGACAUGUCAAGACAUUUUAAUGCUAUUGAACGAUCAUGAAAGUGGCUCUUUCAGAAGAAAGGAGGACACUCCACUUCUAUAAACCAAUUAGAUGGUUAGAUUUGUGUUUAUUAUUAUUGAGAUUGUAACUUUAAUAUUAUUACAAUAUGUUUAUGGUUGUAUUGUUGGGAUUGUAACUUUGGACUUAUGAUAA
This is a long non-coding RNA of Juglans regia (Persian walnut), 574 nucleotides long. RefSeq lists it as uncharacterized. The record is from RefSeq and is a predicted model, not a curated record. NCBI's taxonomy places the organism in Eukaryota, Viridiplantae, Streptophyta, Magnoliopsida, Fagales, Juglandaceae. The transcript has 3 exons.